CAUCUAGAUGUGAAUUAGACCAACUGCUGUCCAAAACUUUCACGUGCGCAUCAAGGGCGCUCGCUGGGCGUGUCCACGUCGGACUGGCUAGAAGACAAAACAAUUUGCCAAUUGCUUCUCCGCCGAUUCGUCCAGACGAAAGACAAAGGAGCCCUCUUCACUGCCUCUUCCCCCCACACGCAAUCUCUCCUCUCGUUUCUCUCCUCCGCCUCUUCCCCGUGGGGGCCUUGCGGCUGCAGUGAGCUGAGAUUUAAGGGGGCGAGCAGGAUGGCUGGCCAACUGAUUCUUCGCCGGAUCUGGAGCCCAGGGAUGCGCGAAGGACCGGCCUGUUGUUGCCGGGGCGAUGAAGUGGUCGGAGGCGCUGGAUCCGCGGCCAAUCAGUCUGCAACGGCGGCAAGACGACGGAGAUCGGGUAAGACCGGUGCUAAAGGUGCACCGCCUUCCCCAUGCCGCCUUCCUGGCUUCCCCCUCGCCUGCCCGCCAUCUCCUCCCCAUCCCAGCCUCGACCACGUCAUCCCCGCCGACGAGCUCGGCCUCUGCAGCAGCGCCCCCCUGGCAGGCGGUUUGUGGAACGGGAAUGCCCCAUUGAUUUUGUUUCUUGUCAUCUCCAGAUGGGUUUGUGGUACCUGCAAUUUAUACUGGAAUUUAAUCUUGAGCUCAGGAUUCCAAGCCCUUUUCUCUUGAGCUGAUUUGCUGCUUAUAAUAUCUGAUGGGUCAUGCAUUCUUUUGGUUCUGAAAUUUAUAUUGCUUUAUCCCGAGUUUAGAAGCCCUGACUGACACUAGGUGGUCCAGUAUCUAGUGAGUUUCCCUUCUGUGUGUAAUUUUCCAUCCACAUGGUUUGCAGUUUUGUACUCAACCAAUCAGUACCGGCAUCAAAAUAUUGAAAUGAUUAGAUGUGGAGUACCUGAUCUGCUCUCAUAAUAACGCAGUCCCUUAUUACUAGCUUUGUAAGAGAGGAAUUAGCCCUAUUUUUCUUUGCUACAAAUAACGUGGAUACAGAAGACUGAAGUAGAACUAGGGCAUCAUGCACGAGAAAUUCAAAUAGUGCACUGGAACCAAACCUUUAGCUCUUGGGUCUUGUUGAUUCAGUGCAAGAACAUAUUUUUUAGCUGGAUGUUUCGCUCAUUUGAGUUUCUAUUGUGUUCUUCAGUAUUGUUAGAUGUCAAGUAUACAAUGAUACACUUAAUCUUGAUUUAAUUUUGAUCAUAAAGAGUUUAGCAUAGUUUUGUUGGACCAAGACCAUCCUUUGUGUAUAUCCGUGAUCUGUACCAAGCAACAUAGCUGCCAGACGAAAUGUUCCUUUCUGAUGAACAUAAGUGUUCCAAUCUCUUCUCUACCACUAACAUAUUUACUUAUUCUUAUGAUAUUGUAAACUUGACUACUUAAGUGUGGAUUGUUUAUGCAGGAUUAUAGCACGGAAGAAAGGUCAAGAGAAAUGGAUAUAUUAAGACUCUUUCCUUACUGGCUUGAUACUAAUCAAUGGAAUGCAAUACUGAACGAUGUUAACAUUCCCUCUUUGUUUAUUCUGACUGGUCCAAAUGGUGGAGGUAAAUCCAGCAUGUUGUGUUCAGUCUACACGGCUGCAUUGCUUGGAAUAUGUGGGCUGAUGGUGCCAGCUGCUUCAGCUGUCAUCUCACACUUAAAUUCCAUCAUGUUGCAUAUGAAGGCCUAUGCUACUUGAGCUGACGGGAAAAGUUCAUUUCAGGUGCCAAUUUUGUAGCUUUGCAUUCCUUUUCUGCAAAAUAUGUGUCUUGUAUUCCCAGGAGCACAUGUGCUACACUAUCUUAUAAUGUUUAGAUUUUCUGGAUCAUGGAGUCAAGCCUGAUAAAAAAUACUUUUUUAUGUUAUUUAAUUUUGAUGUCGAGCUUUUCAAUAUCACGGGAAAGAGUCGAGAUGCUAGAAACUAUAUUGGCAUGGGGCUUGGUGGUAUAGUUCCCUGGCCUUCGAGUCAGGAUAUGAAACUACCUUCAAUUUACAGGAUCUGAAAUAGCUCGGUGAUCUUUCUUCCCACAUCAUCUCAGAAUUCUGUAUGUAGUCCUCUAAAGCAAAAGUGAAAUUUUCAUGUCUUGGUACAUUUUAAUUUCAGAGAACUCGACAUUCAGAACUCGCUGGCUCCAGCUAGAUGAGCUUGCUGGUAUUUUAUUAUCUGGUCAUAAGCAGAUUUGUUAUCUUCAAUUAAAGCUAAAUGUGAGCCACACCAACUUCCUUUAGUUCUUGGAAUUUUGUUAUUGUCCUUUGGAUUAACAAUAUGCCACAAUGCUUUAGAAGAUUUGCAGGGAUGUGUGCUAUUUGAAGAUACAGGUGGCCUUCUUUGUUACUUAUGUUUUCAUUUUUUUAUAAACUAUUUGCAGUUCCAUCUGCUUCGUUUCUGCAAUCUUCAAAUUCAACUUAUGUUAGAGGCUUCAGUUCUUAACAUAUGGUACUUGAUUAAUCAUCAUGUAUAUUGUAUAAACAUAAAAUGAUGCACUGAAUGCACUAUGCUCUUGCAUAUUGUUGAUGUUAAUGUUUAAUUAUGAUCAAGAAUAGUUGGCAUGAGAUGAUCCUGCAUCUGAACUAACGGAAAAGCAAGGAAAGCCUCUGCUGUCUUAUUCUACCUUUUUGUUCUUUGUAGUGUGACAUGCUGAUGCACAACUAUGUUAUCCAACUACAAUUGUAGGCAAGCACUAAUGCCCCUCUUUGUGCUCAUAUGUGUUCUCUGUUAGCCAGGUUAGUGUGAAGUAAGCAGGUAGUUUUAUAGGAAUGCCCACUAUAUCAUGUUCAGAGGUUGCGUAAAAGUUAACUACAUCUGAUAUCCAGCCUCCUUCAUAUUAUUUUCUUCUAUGAUAUAUUCAGUGUCAAUCUAAACGUGCUUCUGAAGUCAAUAACCAUAUCUUAGUGUUUUUUUACAAUAGUCAUCUGCUUCUUAUCUGUUCUAGGUGUUCUUGCCUCUGAGCCCACUCUUUGCCAUGAUGUACUGAUCUCCUCAUUUUACAUUAUUUAUGUUAUUUGUAUGUGCGAUCUUGUCACAAGUUUUCCACAAUUUUUGUUCAUGUCUGUGUCACGAAAAUCAUUUUCGACCAGUCCCAGUUUCUUUCUAUCUACUUGCGUUUAACACCCAGUUGUAAAAUAAUGUGGCGCCGACACUCUCACCCGUCGUUGUGCCUCUCCAGGAUUAGCCAACUCAAGCGACUUCUUGCCAGUGUACAUCGGCGACGACGACCGCACCGACAAUACUGGUGGCCAAGUGCGCCAAGGAGACCAGCACGUCUUACUCACUCUAGACCAGCAGAGUUUUUUCAUUGCCUUUAGGCAUUUGAAACGGAGAUGGUAUGAUCCUCCUAUAUUUGCAUGCUUGUAGCUCUGA
Molecule: non-coding RNA, 3343 nt
Organism: Aegilops tauschii subsp. strangulata
Lineage: Eukaryota; Viridiplantae; Streptophyta; Magnoliopsida; Poales; Poaceae
Source: RefSeq, a predicted model, not a curated record